UUCACUGGGCUUAAAGGGUGCGUAGGCGGAUUGGCAAGCAUCUCGUGAAAUCCCUCGGCUCAACUGAGGAAUUGCGGGAUGAACUGCCAGUCUUGAGGAAGGCAGAGGCUGUCGGAACGUUCGGUGGAGCGGUGAAAUGCGUAGAUAUCGAACGGAACGCCGAAGGGUAGCCAGGCAGCUGGGCCUUACCUGACGCUGAGGCACGAAAGCGUGGGGAUCAAACAGGAUUAGAUACCCUGGUAGUCCACGCCGUAAACGAUGUGCACUAGCUCGAUGCAGAUCUGACUCUGUGUCGGGCGCCGAGAAAUCAUUAAGUGCACCGCCUGGGGAGUACGGUCGCAAGGCUAAAACUCAAAGGAAUUGACGGGGGCUCACACAAGCGGUGGAGCAUGUUGCUUAAUUCGAAGCAACGCGAAGAACCUUACCUGGGUUUGACAUGCACGGAUUAGUCAUUGGAAACAGUGAUGACGCUCUUCGAGUGGAACGUGCACAGGUGCUGCAUGGCUGUCGUCAGCUCGUGCUGUGAAGUGUCGGGUUAAGUCCCUUAACGAGCGCAACCCUUAUCGCUAGUUGCCAGCGCAUUAUGGCGGGGACUCUAGCGAGACUGCCGGUGUCAAACCGGAGGAAGGUGGGGAUGACGUCAAGUCCUCAUGGCCUUUAUGCCCAGGGUGGCAAACGUGCUACAAUGGCGUGUACAGAGCGACGCAAUACCGUGAGGUGGAGCAAAUCGCAAAAAGCACGCCCCAGUUCGGAUAGCAGUCUGCAACUCGACUGCUUGAAGCCGGAAUCGCUAGUAAUCGCGGAUCAGCCAUGCCGCGGUGAAUACGUUCCUGAGCCUUGUACUCACCGCCCGUCAACGCGGCGAAU
RNAcentral lists this ribosomal RNA (867 nucleotides) under uncultured Planctomycetota bacterium. Its description in RNAcentral is "bacterial SSU rRNA". It matches the Rfam family "Bacterial small subunit ribosomal RNA", at positions 550 to 1410 of the family's 1533-position model. Lineage: Bacteria; Pseudomonadati; Planctomycetota. The record is from RNAcentral.